RNAcentral lists this ribosomal RNA (1013 nucleotides) under Dasyscyphus ellisianus. RNAcentral describes it as "LSU rRNA". It matches the Rfam family "Eukaryotic large subunit ribosomal RNA", at positions 271 to 1423 of the family's 3401-position model. The record is from RNAcentral. Lineage: Eukaryota; Fungi; Ascomycota; Leotiomycetes; Helotiales; Lachnaceae.
UGUUGGGAAUGCAGCUCAAAAUGGGUGGUAAAUUUCAUCUAAAGCUAAAUAUUGGCCAGAGACCGAUAGCGCACAAGUAGAGUGAUCGAAAGAUGAAAAGCACUUGGAAAGAGAGUUAAAUAGUACGUGAAAUUGUGAAAGGGAAGCGCUUGCAACCAGACUCGCAUGCCGUCGAUCAUCCUGGGUUCUCCCUGGUGCACUCGGCGAUAUUCGGGCCAGCAUCGGUUUGGGUGGUGGGAUAAAGGCCGUGGGAACGUAGCUUCUUUCGGGAAGUGUUAUAGCCCUCGGUGCAAUGCCGCCUACCUAGACCGAGGACCGCGCUUCGGCUAGGAUGCUGGCGUAAUGGUUGUAAGCGACCCGUCUUGAAACACGGACCAAGGAGUCUAACAUCUAUGCGAGUAUUUGGGUGUUAAACCCAUAUGCGUAAUGAAAGUGAACGGAGGUGAGAACCCUCAAGGGUGCAUCAUCGACCGAUCCUGAUGUCUUCGGAUGGAUUUGAGUAAGAGCAUAGCUGUUGGGACCCGAAAGAUGGUGAACUAUGCCUAAAUAGGGUGAAGCCAGAGGAAACUCUGGUGGAGGCUCGCAGCGGUUCUGACGUGCAAAUCGAUCGUCAAAUUUGGGUAUAGGGGCGAAAGACUAAUCGAACCAUUAGAGAACGACCUACUAGGUGGUUAAGAGGCUUCGGCCUAGUCCCUUAGCCGGGGCGACAUUGUCAAAUUGUUCGGGGACCUCCUGUAAUUUCUAGGCUACCGCAGCCCAGCUGAAAGGCGGGUGCGCACCGGGUUAAUGACCUUGGGGAUGGUAACAACGUCUAGGUAGGGACAAUCCGCAGCUAACUCCUAAGGGCACCGCAGCCUACGGACCAAGUUCACAGACUCGACGGCAGUGGGCCUCAGGGCUUAAGAUAGAGUCGAACCACCAGGAGACUGGAGAGAUAUACCGACGUAUCUAGGUGGCUACCCGUUAUGGGUCCCGGUACCGAGGCUGUCUCAGGGUAUAUAUAUGUGUAUAUA